AAGCAAAGCACGUUUGAAUUAAUAUUUCAGGAAUUUGCACAUGAAUCUGACAUAAGUAAAUCUUUACUUACGACUUGUCAUUUAAUUGCACAGCUGAUUUAGCUAAAAUUAAUAAUUAAAAACAGAACUAUUAACAUAUGAGACAUCCAAUAGGAGUCAAGAAUAUAAAUCGUGUUAAAAUCAACAUACAAUCAAUUGAUAAUGGGCACUCGGCACAUGGAGUAGAAGCGAGGAAACGAAGACACUACCACAAACGGAAGCCCUAUCUCUACCUUUUAAAGAGAGUUUUCUCUUUUUUUUUUCCAGUUCUAGGGUCCAGCUCUCUUCUUCUGCCGGAAAGCAGCUUUCUCUACGCUUAUUCUUGGCCUUGGGUUUGGUGGAAUGAACACCAUCUAGAAGAUCUUUCGGCUGUGCAUAUGUGGGUAUUACGGCACUGGUGGAAGAUGAUGUUGGGUGUUCUGGAUUGGGCUCCUUACCCGGUUGUUUGGUUGUUCUACGGUUUAGGUUGGGAUUGAGUCCUUA
Molecule: unclassified non-coding RNA, 522 nt
Filed under: Hevea brasiliensis (rubber tree)
Lineage: Eukaryota; Viridiplantae; Streptophyta; Magnoliopsida; Malpighiales; Euphorbiaceae
Source: RNAcentral